This 232-nucleotide long non-coding RNA is filed under the name Elaeis guineensis (African oil palm). RNAcentral's name for it is "long non-coding RNA (EGUI_LNC021698)". Lineage: Eukaryota; Viridiplantae; Streptophyta; Magnoliopsida; Arecales; Arecaceae. The record is from RNAcentral.
UUUGGAAUCAAGUCUGAUCAUAUCAAUCCCAAUCUGAGUCGAACUGAAUCUAAUUCAAUUAGACUUAUUCUAAAGCUCUUUACUCAAUCAAAUUGAGUAAAUUAGUAAUCUAAUUACUAAUUAAUUCUCCAUAAAUGGUCAAGUCUUAGUCUCAAUGGGGCUUUUCCACAGAGUCCUAGUCCAAAUCGGACUCUUCACCAGAGUCACAAUCCAAUUAGACACUUCAGCCAUC